Molecule: long non-coding RNA, 1969 nt
Organism: Lynx canadensis (Canada lynx)
Lineage: Eukaryota; Metazoa; Chordata; Mammalia; Carnivora; Felidae
Exons: 5
Source: RefSeq, a predicted model, not a curated record
CCCGGACGGAGGCCGCCGAGGUCCAAGCCUCCCAGAGCUGUCCAAGGCCACGCCCCUUCCCAGGCUCGAAAGUCCGCCCGCGUCCAACGCCCAGGCUCAGCGGCCGCUCCGCCCGGGAGUCGAACCAGCGCCCCAGCGUGGACCCUGAGCGCCGUCGGAAAGGCGUUAGCGCCCAGGGGGUCACAACCCAGCUUGCUGGAAGGAAACUUGGGGACAUCUGUAAGGAGAGGAAUAGGAAAGACCCGAGGAGAAGCAGUAAAGGAGGUAGAAGCAACUCGCGCUGUUUUGGAGGAGAGUUUCUAGAAGGGUGUGUUAAAUUCAGCAGAGUAUUGAGAAAGAUCAAGACCAAAAAUUGUAGUUAGAUUUAGGAAGGAGGAGGUAACGGAACUUCAAAAGCAAAAUUUCGGGGAGCUAGAAAGGGAAAAUGGAGUCAGGAGGAGCCUUGUCGAAAAACUGGAAGAUGUGAAGGGCGUUGCGGAUCCUUUGGAGCCAAGGACUGGAACUGCCAUGCAAGACCUCUGCCAACUGAGGGUUUCAUGAGCGCACUCCCUUGCCAAGAUCUUGGUGAAUAGUCUUUCACUGUGCAAUUGUGUCUCAGACAUUGUUUUACUUGUUAUCAUGAUUGUGCUUGGCUGGAUGCUUUUUGUUGGACUUGCAUGUUACAUGGGCACAUUUCCAGAGUUCACGCCUCCAACUCUGAAGUGGAAAGAGAAGUGGCCUGUUCAGGAGAGCAAGACACGACUGAGGAGCCUGGCUUUGGAUGAAGAACCACAACUAUGAGAACCAUGUGGAAAGGAUAUAAGUAUCCCCCAGGAGGGACCCCGGUGGAAGUAAGCAAAGAUGAUCCUGGUGAAGUCAUGCAGCUCUGAAGCUCACCUGGCCUGCUGUAGAGUUCCUGUUGUUGGUUUCGCAUAAAGUAAUUGCACAUUAUUUUGUCACAUUUUAUGUAAAAAGUUACCGUACUUUUUAAGAUGAAGAGCUGAUAUUCUGUUAGCUCAAAACAGGGAGAUGGGGGAGGGUAGUUGGGUUAGACGAACGUGAUUGGGUGCCUCUGUUUCAGUCUCUAAGACUAAAGUCUUAGACUAAAAUACCUAGUUCAAUUUGCCCCCUAUUCUGAAUCCUUAGGGAUAGAAAUUCUCUAAAGCUCCUUUGACCUAGUUCCCGGGUGUAGUCUUCCUCCUGCAUCCAGGGUCCAGGGUCAAAAAAACGUUCAGAAAAUGCUAGAGAUUGCAGCAACUUUAAGCCUAUCUUUUGGGGAUACUCUUCUGUGGCCUUUUCACAGCUGUUACCAACAACCUUCUGUGGCCUUUUCUCAGCUGUUACCAACAACCUUCUGUGGCCUUUUCACAGCUGUUAUCAAGAACCGAAGGCUUACACUGUGUGGGGGAAGGGAUGUCAUUUUAAUAUGAGGUGCUAGAUACUAAAUUAAACAUUACUUUAAUUCUUAUAAGCUUCUGAGCUGGGCACUAGCCUCAUUGAACAAAAGGUUACAAAUGAAGUUGAGAGACUCAAGUAUCUUACCAGCUGCACAGCUCUGGGUUGGAGUCAAGAUCAAGAUCCAGGCCUUCUCCUUGGCAUACUUUUAUGUGCCAAGGAAAAGAGCCAAACAAGAGACUGGAAUAUCCAAGAUCUUGGCUAUCUCUUGGCUCAAGUGCCCCCUUCAUUUGAAUAGCCAAGAAGGUGCCUGAUGAUUCUUUUAGCAGUAACCACUGCUAAUACAGGGCAGCAUGCAUACAUAGAAACAAAAGCUAAGUGCUCAGUCCUCAAUAUGAUGCAGUUUGAGUUUGAGACCAAGUAUGGAAACUUAAGACCCAUGCAAUUAAUCUAGGUGUUUCAGCCCUAGGAUAUUCCUCAUAAGCCCUCUCUAGGGGUGGUUUGGAAUUUUCUGACCUUAACGGGGUUGGGGGGGGGGGGAGGGGGAAGAAUCCAACAAGAACAAGUACUUCUAAAAUAAACUGUAUGGAAACUU